UAAAUUAUGGUCAAUUGUUAGUAUUCAUAUUAAUUUUUUUAAAUGUUUUAUCAUUUUAUAAAGGUUUAUUUUUGAAAGAUUUUUUGUAUAAAAUUUUAGGAAUAGUUAAUAAUAAUUUAUAAUUUUGAUUAGAUUGUUUUGUUAAUGCUAUUAGAUGGGUGUGGAAAAAUAAAAAAAAUAAUUAAUAUAUAUCAAUAAUAAAUUAAAUUAAUCUAUUAGUCAGAAAUGGAUGCCAGCCGUUGCGGUAAUUUCUAUGCUUUUAAAUAUUAUACAAUUAUCAUAUUAAAUUGUUAAGUGUUGAUUUAACCAAUAAAAAUAUAAAUAAUUUUUAUUUGUUUUUAAACACCAUUAGGUAUAUGCAAAUAUAAAAUUAUAGUAAUUAUAAAUUAUAUUAUAUUAUAUUUAUUCAUAUAAUUAAUAGGAUAAUAUUUGUAGUUUUUGAUACCAUGAUAAGGAUUAUAAAUUGAAAGUGUUAAUAUCAUAAUCAAAAUUUAUUAUUUAUAUUAAAUAUGUAUGUGUAGAUAAAAUAAGAAAUUAAAAAGGUAUUGUUGCCCACCAAUUUUUAUAAUAAAAAUAACGUGCAGUAAUUAAUAUAUUUAUAAAAAUAUAUUUUUUUUUUUU
Molecule: ribosomal RNA, 621 nt
Filed under: Trypanosoma brucei brucei
Lineage: Eukaryota; Euglenozoa; Kinetoplastea; Trypanosomatida; Trypanosomatidae
Description: 9S rRNA from Trypanosoma brucei brucei (PDB 6HIW, chain CA)
Rfam family: Trypanosomatid mitochondrial small subunit ribosomal RNA
Source: RNAcentral